Molecule: ribosomal RNA, 497 nt
Filed under: uncultured bacterium
Lineage: Bacteria
Description: partial 16S ribosomal RNA
Rfam family: Bacterial small subunit ribosomal RNA
Source: RNAcentral
GAUGAACGCUGGCGGCGUGCCUAAUACAUGCCAGUCGAGCGAACGGACGAGAAGCUUGCUUCUCUGAUGUUAGCGGCGGACGGGUGAGUAACACGUGGAUAACCUACCUAUAAGACUGGGAUAACUUCGGGAAACCGUAGCUAAUACCGGAUAAUAUUUUGAACCGCAUGGUUCAAAAGUGAAAGACGGUCUUGCUGUCACUUAUAGAUGGAUCCGCGCUGCAUUAGCUAGUUGGUAAGGUAACGGCUUACCAAGGCAACGAUGCAUAGCCGACCUGAGAGGGUGUGCGGCAACAAUGGAACUGUGACACGGUCCGGACUCCUACGGGAGGCAGCAGUAGGGAAUCUUCCGCAAUGGGCGAAAGCCUGACGGAGCAACGCCGCGUGAGUGAUGAAGGUAUUCGGAUCGUAAAACUCUGUUAUUAGGGAAGAACAUAUGUGUAAGUAACUGUGCACAUCUUGACGGUACCUAAUCAGAAAGCCACGGCUAACUACGUG